Molecule: small nucleolar RNA, 132 nt
Organism: Meriones unguiculatus (Mongolian gerbil)
Lineage: Eukaryota; Metazoa; Chordata; Mammalia; Rodentia; Muridae
Source: Ensembl
ACUGCCCCUAGAGGUAUUACAGGUGCAGCUGCUGUGUCCCGUGUAUCUCAAUAGGUGGCAGAGAAAAGAGAGGCCAUGUCUAUAGUUAGUGUUCAGACCUAUGAAUGUCUGAAUGAUUAGUAACUUAAUAUG